GACGAACGCUGGCGGCGUGCUUAACACAUGCAAGUCGAACGCUGAAGCUUGGUGCUUGCCCUGGGUGGGUGAGUGGCGAACGGGUGAGUAAUACGUGAGUAACCUGCCCUUGACUCUGGGAUAAGCCUGGGAAACUGGGUCUAAUACUGGAUACGACAUGCCACUGCAUGGUGGUGUGUGGAAAGGGUUUUACUGGUUUUGGAUGGGCUCACGGCCUAUCAGCUUGUUGGUGGGGUAAUGGCCUACCAAGGCGACGACGGGUAGCCGGCCUGAGAGGGUGACCGGCCACACUGGGACUGAGACACGGCCCAGACUCCUACGGGAGGCAGCAGUGGGGAAUAUUGCACAAUGGGCGGAAGCCUGAUGCAGCGACGCCGCGUGAGGGAUGACGGCCUUCGGGUUGUAAACCUCUUUCAGCACGGAAGAAGCGAGAGUGACGGUACGUGCAGAAGAAGCGCCGGCUAACUACGUG
This 472-nucleotide ribosomal RNA is filed under the name uncultured bacterium. Its description in RNAcentral is "partial 16S ribosomal RNA". It matches the Rfam family "Bacterial small subunit ribosomal RNA", at positions 28 to 507 of the family's 1533-position model. The record is from RNAcentral.